Molecule: ribosomal RNA, 407 nt
Filed under: uncultured bacterium
Lineage: Bacteria
Description: bacterial SSU rRNA
Rfam family: Bacterial small subunit ribosomal RNA
Source: RNAcentral
AACGAACGCUGGCGGCAUGCUUAACACAUGCAAGUCGAACGAGACCUUCGGGUCUAGUGGCGCACGGGUGCGUAACGCGUGGGAAUCUGCCCUUAGGUACGGAAUAACUCAGAGAAAUUUGUGCUAAUACCGUAUGAUGUCGAAAGACCAAAGAUUUAUCGCCUAAGGAUGAGCCCGCGUAAGAUUAGCUUGUUGGUGAGGUAAAAGCUCACCAAGGCGACGAUCUUUAGCUGGUCUGAGAGGAUGAUCAGCCACACUGGGACUGAGACACGGCCCAGACUCUACGGGAGGCAGCAGUGGGGAAUAUUGGACAAUGGGCGAAAGCCUGAUCCAGCAAUGCCGCGUGAGUGAUGAAGGCCUUAGGGUUGUAAAGCUCUUUUACCAGGGAUGAUAAUGACAGUACCUGG